Malurus melanocephalus (red-backed fairy wren) is the source of this 1643-nucleotide long non-coding RNA. RefSeq lists it as uncharacterized. Lineage: Eukaryota; Metazoa; Chordata; Aves; Passeriformes; Maluridae. The transcript has 5 exons. The record is from RefSeq and is a predicted model, not a curated record.
AGAUUUGUUUUCUGAGGUUUUCCUCAAUUCUCCUGUAAUUCCUGUGUUGUGCUUACCUUGAUUCCAAGCAGAGGAAGGUUUCAGGAUCAUGGAUAUCCAAAGAAGAAGAAAAGAAGGAAAAUAUUCCCUUUGAGGCAACUCCCAGCACGUGCACAGAGCUGGGCUCUCCAGCAAUCAGUAGCUGAGGAAAAUCUGGAUUUCAUUUCUAAUUCCACCACGAAUUUCCCUCUUUUCCAGGGUCUGCCAGUGCUGCUGAAAACCCUUUUGAGAACCACACCAAAAAGUGACCACCCCAAAUCCAGCUGCUCCUUCCCACUGCCCAGAGCCCGAGGAGGAGCUGAGCAGAGGGGCUCCAUCCCAGCUCUGACUUCUGUUGGGUAUUUCCACAUUCCUGAUCUGCUUUUGGCAGCGGGGUGAGGAGGGAACGCCAUGGCCAAGGAGGGAUUACCAAGGUCCAAGGGAACACAAGUUCUGAGUGUCACCUCCACCCCAGAACCGCUUUGGGGCAAACCAAGAACCGAGCAGAUUUUUUUUUUUCCCCACUCAUUUUCACGGUGGCUCCUCCCAAGCAAAAGCAAGCAGUCAGGUGAGUCAAAUGUUCCCCUUCCCAGUUGAUCCAUGGAAGAAAAAUGAGAAAUAUUGAGUGGAGACAAUUCUAAACUUCUUUGGAUUCAGGGACUGAGGGUUGGGAGGGCUGUGUACCCACAUGAGCACUGAGGGGGAUUUUAAAAACACACAUUUCAUUCCCUGCAGUGCCAAAGAUUCCUUCACUUUGGACCUUAAAUUUAACAAUUAGACCUUUCUGGGUUUCUCCCAUGUCAGUAAUGCCCUCACAGUGUCCUUUGGGGCUGAAAGGAAGGGACACAGCCCGAAGUGGCCCCAGCAGGUGACAAUAAUCUCAGCAGUGACGCUGUCCCCAGGUUUAGUGGAGGAUCCCAGUGGCCACUCUCUCCUUUCCUGGGAUGCUCUCAGCCCAGCUCUCCUUUUCCUUUCACAUUUCCCCAUUUUCCCUGUUCCCUGCCUUUCCAGGAGCGUUGUCACAGAUGGAAAAAGCCCAGGGAAUGUGGGUGCUGAGCCCUCCCCGAUCCCCCCACGAGGGUUUGGGGCACAGGGUGAGGGUUUGGUCUUGGAUUUCCAACCCAUGGGAUGCUCCUCCUGCUCGGGGUGACAUCAACAGGGAACCCUCGAGGCUGAACUCAAGGAAUUCCCUCUCUGUGGCUUUUGUAAAAGCAAAGAUAGGAGAUCUGGGUUCCCCUUCUGGAAUGUUCUGCCUUCAGUAAAAUCCCUCACCCUGUGUUUGAAGGGAUUGUAGAUCCCACUUCAUUCCAACCCCUGCCAUGGCAGGGACACCUUUCCCAGCCCAGGUGGCUCAGGGUGACAGUGGGAUCAGGCACCGAGCCCAUGGAAUUGGCUUUGCCUGCGCCUCUGAUGGGUUUGUGGAUCCCUGAUUCCUCCUGUGAGGUUGGAAACCCUCGUUUCACACAGCACAGGACACAAAAGGAGCCCUGUGGAAAAAAGGAAAAGCAGGUGUUGGGUGAUCCCACAGAAUGUCCUCAGAGGGGCAGGAUUUGAGAUGGGGAGAGAUGGAAAGAGGGCUGGAAGAACGAGAUGGAUUUCCUGCACCCAAAUCAAGGAACAGAAAG